UGGGUUUAGUCCCGCACGAGCGCACCCUCAUCCUUAGUUGCCAUCAUUGAGUUGGGCACUCUAAGGAAACUGCCCCGGUUAACGGGGAGGAAGGUGGGGAUGACGUCAAGUCCUCAUGGCCUUUAUGUCCAGGGCUACACACGUGCUACAAUGGGCGGUACAAAGGGUUGCAAUACCGCGAGGUGGAGCUAAUCCCAAAAAGCCGCUCUCAGUUCAGAUUGGAGUCUGCAACUCGACUCCAUGAAGGCGGAAUCGCUAGUAAUCGCGGAUCAGCAUGCCGCGGUGAAAACGUUCCCGGGCCUUGUACACACCGCCCGUCACACCAUGAGAGCUGACUGUACCAGAAGCGUUGGGCUAACCCUGAGUUCGCUUAGGGAGGCAGGCGCCUAAGGUAUGGUUGGUGAUUGGGGUGAAGCGUAACAAGGUAACCCGGGCGGCCGAA
This 442-nucleotide ribosomal RNA is filed under the name uncultured delta proteobacterium wpd_23. Its description in RNAcentral is "bacterial SSU rRNA". It matches the Rfam family "Bacterial small subunit ribosomal RNA", at positions 1076 to 1510 of the family's 1533-position model. Lineage: Bacteria; Deltaproteobacteria. The record is from RNAcentral.